GCUCUGGUGGUGUAGCUCGGCCUAAUCAUUUAGAGACCAAUCAUACGGGACUGUCACUCCCGUGACCCGGGUUCAAAUCCCGGCCAGAGCG
RNAcentral lists this transfer RNA (91 nucleotides) under Candidatus Aenigmatarchaeota archaeon. RNAcentral's name for it is "tRNA-Asp". It matches the Rfam family "tRNA". From Rfam's summary of the family: Transfer RNA (tRNA) molecules are approximately 80 nucleotides in length. Their secondary structure includes four short double-helical elements and three loops (D, anti-codon, and T loops). Further hydrogen bonds mediate the characteristic L-shaped molecular structure. tRNAs have two regions of fundamental functional importance: the anti-codon, which is responsible for specific mRNA codon recognition, and the 3' end, to which the tRNAs corresponding amino acid is attached (by aminoacyl-tRNA synthetases). tRNAs cope with the degeneracy of the genetic code in two manners: having more than one tRNA (with a specific anti-codon) for a particular amino acid; and 'wobble' base-pairing, i.e. permitting non-standard base-pairing at the 3rd anti-codon position. Lineage: Archaea; Nanobdellati; Candidatus Aenigmatarchaeota. The record is from RNAcentral.